CGGAGAGGGAGCAUGAGAAACGGUCCUACAUCCCCCGAAGGCAGCAGGCGCGCAACUUACCCAAUCCUUACACGGGGAGGUAGUGACGAUAAAUGCCGAUAUAGGACUCUACAGAGUGCUAUAAUUGGAUUGAGAACAAUUUAAACCCCUUAACGAUUAUCCAUUGGAGGGCAAGUCUGGGGGCGGGGGGCGCGGUAAUUCCAGCUCCAAUAGCGUAUAUUAAAGUUGUUGCAGUUAAAAAGCUCGUAGUUGAAUCUCGAAAGUCAGGGGUUGCGGUCCGCCACAACGGUGUGCACUGGACCCUUGCUUUCUACCUUCCGAAGGUUCGCUCCCGUCACUUGACUGCGACGGGAACCAAGCGAAUUUUGGAUCGUUUACUUUGAAAAAAUUAGAGUGUUCAUAGCAGGCGGGGGUUGCCUUUGAAUACAUAAGCAUGGUAUAAUGGAAUAGGACCUCGGUCCUACUUUGUUGGUUUUUGGGGCCGAAGUAAUGAUUAAAAGGGAUGGUUGGGGGUAUUAGUAUUUAGUUGUCAGAGGUGAAAUUCUAUGAUUGUCUAAAGACUAACUACUGCGAAAGCAUUUACCAAGGAUGUUUUCAUUAAUCAAGAACGAAAGUUGGGGGAUCGAAGACGAUCAGAUACCGUCGUAGUCUCAGCCGUAAACUAUGCCGACCACGGAUUCGGAGACGUUACCUGGAUGACUCUCCGAGCACCUUGUGAGAAAU
This 723-nucleotide ribosomal RNA is filed under the name uncultured organism. RNAcentral's name for it is "bacterial SSU rRNA". It matches the Rfam family "Eukaryotic small subunit ribosomal RNA", at positions 384 to 1098 of the family's 1831-position model. The record is from RNAcentral.